RNAcentral lists this ribosomal RNA (1243 nucleotides) under metagenome. RNAcentral describes it as "SSU rRNA". It matches the Rfam family "Eukaryotic small subunit ribosomal RNA", at positions 558 to 1801 of the family's 1831-position model. The record is from RNAcentral.
AGUCUGGUGCCAGCAGCCGCGGUAAUUCCAGCUCCAAUAGGAUAUAUCAAAGUUGUUGCAGUGGAAAAGCUCGUAGUCGUAUUUCUGGUGGGUUGAUGUCUUUGUCGGUGUGGGACUCAAGUUCCUGUCGAUCGAGGGCCGCCUGCCAUUUUGUGGAAUCAAGUGGUCAUGUCGGGGUUUACUCACCGAUAUGAUCGCUCCACUCCGUCACUGAGAGCAAAUUGGAGUGCUCAAAGCAGGCUUUACAGCUUUGAACAUUUUAGCUUGGAAUGACAAAGAGUGACUUUUUGUUCACUUUGUUAGUUAUGAAUAGGAAGUAAUGAUAAAUAGGAACAGUUGCGGGGGUACUCGUAUUGGGAAGUCAGAGGUGAAAUUCUUAGAUUUUUCCACGACGAACGACUGCGAAAGCAUUUACCAAGGAUGUUUUCAUUGAUCAAGAACGAAAGUGCGAGGAUCGAAGAUGAUUAGAUACCAUCGUAGUUCGCACAGUAAACGAUGCCGACUCGGGAUUGAGUUCUCUUCGUUACAUAGAAGGAUCUCAGCACCGUAUGUGAAAACAAAGUCUUUGGGUUCCGGGGGGAGUAUGGUCGCAAGGUUGAAACUUAAAGGAAUUGACGGAAGGGCACACCAGAGGUGGAGCCUGCGGUUUAAUUUGACCCAACACGGGGAAACUCACCAGGUCCAGACAUGAGAAGGAUUGACAGUUUGAAAGCACUUUCUUGAUUUCAUGGGUGGUGGUGCAUGGCCGUUCUUAGUUGGUGGAGUGAUUUGUCUGGUUGAUUCCGAUAACGAACGAGACUCUCAGAGUAAACUGGCUUAGGUCGUAAUCCACGUUACUUCCGGCCUCUUUUCUCGACAAUUCGUUUUAAACGAAAGGAAGCGGAGAGCAAUAACAGGUCUGUGAUGCCCCUCGAUGUUCUGGGCCACACGCGCGCUACAAUGACGAAUUCAACGAGCUUUUUUCUCCUUGCCCGGAAGGGUGUGGGUAAUCUUUUCAAUGUUCGUCGUGAUGGGGCUAGAUUUUUGCAAUUAUUAAUCUUCAACGAGGAAUCUCUAGUAUGUGCAGUUCAUCAGACUGCGCAGAAUGCGUCCCUGCCCUUUGUACACACCGCCCGUCGCACCUACCGAUUGGACGAUCCGGCAAGAUGUUCGGAGUUGCGUUUGUUGGGCUCUCGGGUCUGACUUAUGCGGCAAAGCUCCUCAAACCUUAUCGUCUAGAGGAAGGUGAAGUCGUAACAAGGUU